UAGGGAAUCUUCGGCAAUGGACGAAAGUCUGACCGAGCAACGCCGCGUGAGUGAAGAAGGUUUUCGGAUCGUAAAACUCUGUUGUUAGAGAAGAACAAGGACGUUAGUAACUGAACGUCACCUGACGGUAUCUAACCAGAAAGCCACGGCUAACUACGUGCCAGCAGCCGCGGUAAUACGUAGGUGGCAAGCGUUGUCCGGAUUUAUUGGGCGUAAAGCGAGCGCAGGCGGUUUCUUUAGUCUGAUGUGAAAGCCCCCGGCUCAGCCGGGAAGGUUCGUUGGAAGCUGGGAGACGUGAGUGAAGAAGAGGAGAGUGGAAUUCCAUGUGUGGCGGUGAAAUGCGUAGAUAUAUGGAGGAACACCAGUGGCGAAGGCGGCUCUCUGGUCUGUAACUGACGCUGAGGCUCGAAAGCGUGGGGAGCAAACAGG
RNAcentral lists this ribosomal RNA (429 nucleotides) under Gemmatimonadota bacterium. RNAcentral describes it as "Gemmatimonadetes bacterium partial 16S ribosomal RNA". It matches the Rfam family "Bacterial small subunit ribosomal RNA", at positions 355 to 776 of the family's 1533-position model. Lineage: Bacteria; Pseudomonadati; Gemmatimonadota. The record is from RNAcentral.